Anneissia japonica is the source of this 1003-nucleotide long non-coding RNA. RefSeq lists it as uncharacterized. The transcript is spliced from 4 exons. The record is from RefSeq and is a predicted model, not a curated record. NCBI's taxonomy places the organism in Eukaryota, Metazoa, Echinodermata, Crinoidea, Comatulida, Comatulidae.
CAAAGACUUAACUCUGAUUCAGUUUGCUGAAUUUCUUUGCUUAGUAGUCUCAAGACGCUUCAGUUUAUGAGAAUAUAAUAACGGUGAUUCUAACAAUUAUAGAUAAGACCAAAGCUGCUAACAAGUAAACCCCUGCACCAGAAGUGGUAGCCUAUUAAAUUAGAGGAAGACUAUUAUAAUUUUUUUUUAAAUGUACUAAAGACAUUUAAAGGAAUAUUAACGAAACCUGCAAACGGUUGUGUAAAACUAGUUGAAUAGGUAAACAUCCUGCACCUCUCCAUCUGUGAUUUGCUGAAGUACAACACGUAUUACAUUGACAGUUGGUUGCCACUCCGUGGAUGACGUUCGAUUAUGACGUUAUAAUCUCGAGAUGGACACAAACAAGAGGAACGAUUUAACUCGAGGAGGUUCUAACUCGAGGUACAAUGACUUGAAAGGUACAGCAAAAGAUACUUCAUUCACCUGAUGUUUUGAGUACUGUAAAGAUGCAGCAACUCUCCAGCUUUGUUAUACAUGGAUCAAUUUUACAAAAUAAUAAUAUCGAAAAAGAAAAUAUUUAACUAUGAUGAACAUGGUUAUUACAAUUAAAUAUGCAUUCUGUAAAAAACUAAAUUAAGAUCCUCUAGGCAAAAGAAACUUCUUAAAACCGGAUACUAUUUUCUAUGGCAAUAGAUCAUUCAUCUUGUUUUCUGCUCGUCUUUGGAAUGAUCUUCCACAGGCUAUUAAAGAGACGGCGUCAAUUGACAUUUUAAAAAUUGUCUGAAAUUAGAAAUUACUUUGCUCCUCUUGUUUUAUACUCAAAAACUGAUUGAAUCUGAUUGACAUCGGAUAGUCAGAUGCCAUUUUCACUCGAGCUCCUGUGAGUUCAGUUCCGGCGAGCUCUCAAUUAUGGGAGCUUCAAAAUGCUGGAGAACGGAGCGGUGAAUAUGGUUUUUCUGCGUUUAUUCUUUAUUUUUUGGUUACUUUUACUGCGCUUAGAAGCACUGUUUUGUAUUAAGCGCUC